ACGAAGUGUUGUCUGCUCCGAAACUCUUCGCACCAGAAAAGGAAGUACUAAAUCCACUUGCUAUCAAAUCAAAUUGCUCCUCAAAAGUUAAAGGUCUCGUUCUGAAUCUCCAUCUUAAUGUUUUCUUCGUGACUUUAGAAGCUAACAUUUCAUUCAAUCUUCAGAAUUUGUUUGGGCGGAAAUUAACAAAACUUGGUCGGUG
This 202-nucleotide unclassified non-coding RNA is filed under the name Hevea brasiliensis (rubber tree). The record is from RNAcentral. Lineage: Eukaryota; Viridiplantae; Streptophyta; Magnoliopsida; Malpighiales; Euphorbiaceae.